UACGUAGGGGGCAAGCGUUGUCCGGAUUUAUUGGGCGUAAAGAGCGUGUAGGCGGCCAUUCAGGUCAGCUGUGAAAACUCGAGGCUCAACCUCGAGACGUCGGUUGAAACCGUUUGGCUAGAGUCCGGAAGAGGAGAGUGGAAUUCCUGGUGUAGCGGUGAAAUGCGCAGAUAUCAGGAGGAACACCCGUGGCGAAAGCGGCUCUCUGGGACGGUACUGACGCUGAGACGCGAAAGCGUGGGGAGCAAACAGG
RNAcentral lists this ribosomal RNA (253 nucleotides) under uncultured bacterium. Its description in RNAcentral is "partial 16S ribosomal RNA". It matches the Rfam family "Bacterial small subunit ribosomal RNA", at positions 524 to 776 of the family's 1533-position model. The record is from RNAcentral.